Molecule: long non-coding RNA, 630 nt
Filed under: Phasianus colchicus (ring-necked pheasant)
Lineage: Eukaryota; Metazoa; Chordata; Aves; Galliformes; Phasianidae
Description: lncRNA (ENSPCLG00000003419.1)
Source: RNAcentral
GUUUAAAUGAAUGAACUAGUUGAAGAAAUAGAAAUGAAGAAAAUAUUGCCACUUUGCUUGCAGGAAAAAGAUACUCAUCAAAAGCUUCAGCAAACUGAGCUUGAAUAUUCUGCUGCUUGACUUUUCUUAGAGCUUGAACAGAAAGUCCAUAUUGCCUAAUAAUGCUACUUUUGUAGUGUUUGCCUUUCUAAGGCAAUUUUUUUUUUAUUUUAUUACAAAUUAACCAAUCUGACUGAUUCUGCCAUUAUUUUAUUGCAGGGGCAUGGAGGAGUUACCAGGGAAGAAAUAUUUUUUAGCCUUAUGCUUAAACUGAACACAACAUCAGGAACUUCUGGAACCAGCGUGUUCAAGUGUGAGAAAAUGGAAAAGAAACAUAGCAAUAACUCCUGAACCAAUAUUUUGCAGAAGGGAACGCAGUCAGUAUGCUCAAAGCAUGCUGGCUUCAGUCCACCUCCCCACCCCCUAAGAAAAAGAAAAAAAAAAAAAAAAAGAAAUAUUGACUGAAAGCAUAAAGAAUGCAACCCAGCUCCAGAAGACAGGGCUGAGAAACAUCGAGUUCUGAGCUUUGUUUGUCCCCAGGCUUGUACUGAAACAGCUCUGAGGUGUAAAUAAAGCAGCAGGGGUUUGUCA